AGGAGUUUUCGAGUCCUGGCUACAGGAUGAACGCUGGCGGCGUGCUUAACACAUGCAAGUCGAACGGUGAACGAGGGAGCUUGCUCCCUCCGGAUCAGUGGCGAACGGGUGAGUAACACGUGAGCAAUCUGCCCCGAACUCGUGGGAUAAGCGUUGGAAACGACGUCUAAUACCGGAUACGACGCGCGAAGGCAUCUUUCUGCGCGUGGAAAGAACUUCGGUUCGGGAUGAGCUCGCGGCCUAUCAGGUAGUUGGUGAGGUAACGGCUCACCAAGCCGACGACGGGUAGCCGGCCUGAGAGGGUGACCGGCCACACUGGGACUGAGACACGGCCCAGACUCCUACGGGAGGCAGCAGUGGGGAAUAUUGCACAAUGGGCGAAAGCCUGAUGCAGCAACGCCGCGUGAGGGACGACGGCCUUCGGGUUGUAAACCUCUUUUUAGUAGGGAAGAAGCGAAAGUGACGGUACCUGCAGAAAAAGCACCGGCUAACUACGUG
RNAcentral lists this ribosomal RNA (498 nucleotides) under uncultured Microbacteriaceae bacterium. RNAcentral's name for it is "bacterial SSU rRNA". It matches the Rfam family "Bacterial small subunit ribosomal RNA", at positions 1 to 507 of the family's 1533-position model. Lineage: Bacteria; Bacillati; Actinomycetota; Actinomycetes; Micrococcales; Microbacteriaceae. The record is from RNAcentral.